Molecule: ribosomal RNA, 1010 nt
Filed under: uncultured Chloroflexota bacterium
Lineage: Bacteria; Bacillati; Chloroflexota
Description: bacterial SSU rRNA
Rfam family: Bacterial small subunit ribosomal RNA
Source: RNAcentral
UCAUAUGGAUUCCUACGGGAGGCAGCAGUCGGGAAUAUUGCCCAAUGGUCGCAAGACUGAGGCAGCAACGCCGCGUGCGCGAUGAAGGCCUUCGGGUCGUAAAGCGCUUUUCAGUGGGAUGAGGAAGGACAGUACCACUGGAAUAAGGUACGGCUAACUACGUGCCAGCAGCCGCGGUAAAACGUAGGUACCGAGCGUUAUCCGGAUUUACUGGGCGUAAAGCGUGUUCAGGCGGUCUAGCAAGUCGGGCAUGAAAUCUCUGGGCUCAACCCGGAGGGGUUGUCCGAAACUGCUGGGCUUGAGGGCAGCAGAGGGUGGUGGAAUUCCGGGUGUAGUGGUGAAACGCGUAGAUAUCCGGAGGAACACCAGUGGCGAAGGCGGCCACCUGGGCUGUACCUGACGCUCAAACACGAAAGCUAGGGGAGCGAACGGGAUUAGAAACCCCGGUAGUCCUAGCCGUAAACGAUGUUGACUAGGUGUCGACGGUCUAAACCCCGCCGGUGCCGGAGCUAACGCACGAAGUCAGCCGCCUGGGGACUACGGCCGCAAGGUUAAAACUCAAAGGAAUUGACGGGGACCCGCACAAGCAGCGGAGCGUGUGGUUUAAUUCGAGGCUACGCGCAGAACCUUACCAGGGAUUGACAUGGCGGUGGUAGUGAAGCGAAAGCGGAACGACCCUUCGGGGAGCCGUCACAGGUGAUGCAUGGCUGUCGUCAGCUCGCGCCGUGAGGUGUUUGGUUAAGUCCACUAACGAGCGCAACCCUUAGCCUCAGUUAUACGUGUCUGAGGCGACUGCCGGUAUUAAGCCGGAGGAAGGUGGGGAUGACGUCAAGUCCGCAUGUCCUUUAUAUCCUGGGCUACACACACGCUACAAUGGCCAGUACAAUGGGUCGCCAAGCCGCGAGGCGGAGCCAAUCUCAGAAAGCCGAUCGUAGUCCGGAUUGGAGUCUGCAACUCGACUCCAUGAAGUCGGAAUCGCUAGUAAUCGCGGAUCAGCAUGUCGCGGUGAA